RNAcentral lists this transfer RNA (24 nucleotides) under Cyrtodactylus russelli. RNAcentral's name for it is "partial tRNA-Cys". RNAcentral also lists the same sequence under 1 other name. Lineage: Eukaryota; Metazoa; Chordata; Lepidosauria; Squamata; Gekkonidae. The record is from RNAcentral.
ACGGUGCCGGGGCUUCUCCCGUUU